GGUUGUGUAGUGUAGUGGUAAGCACCUUGGACUUUGACACAUGUCAAUUUUCCUCCGGAAACCCCGGUCCGAACCCGGGCACGACCU
Non-coding RNA from Apodospora peruviana, 87 nucleotides. The record is from the annotation of a GenBank genome assembly. NCBI's taxonomy places the organism in Eukaryota, Fungi, Ascomycota, Sordariomycetes, Sordariales, Lasiosphaeriaceae.